This 691-nucleotide ribosomal RNA is filed under the name Triticum dicoccoides. RNAcentral's name for it is "rRNA SSU_rRNA_eukarya". It matches the Rfam family "Eukaryotic small subunit ribosomal RNA", at positions 1117 to 1823 of the family's 1831-position model. The record is from RNAcentral. Lineage: Eukaryota; Viridiplantae; Streptophyta; Magnoliopsida; Poales; Poaceae.
GGGGGACUAUGGUCGCAAGAGUGAAACUUAAAGGAAUUGACAGAAGGGCACCACCAGGUGUGGAGCCUGCGGCUUAAUUUGACUCAACACGGGGAAACUUACCAGGUCCAAACAUAGCAAGAAUUGACAGACUAAGAGCUCUUUCUCGAUUCUAUGGGUGGUGGUGCAUGGUCGUUCUUAGUUGGUGGAGUGAUUUGUCUGGUUAAUUCCGUUAACGAACGAGACCUCCGCCUGCUAAGUAGCUAUGCAGAGCCAUCCCUCCACAACUAGCUUCUUAGAGGGACUAUCGUUGUUUAGGCGAUGGAAGUUUGAGGCAAUAACAGGUCUGUGAUGCCCUUAUAUGUUCUGGGCCGCACGCGUGCUACACUGAUGUAUUCAACGACUAUACAGCCUUGGCCGACAGGCCCGGGUAAUCUUCGGAAAUUUCGUCGUUAUAUGGAUAGAUCGUUGCAAUUGUUGGUCUUCAACGAGGAAUGCCUAGUAAGCGCGAGUCAUCAGCUCGGGUUGACUACAUCCCUGCCCUUUCUACACACCGCCCGUCGCUCCUAUCGAUUGAAUGGUAUGGUGAAGUAUUCGUAUUGUGGCGACCGUGGCGGUUCACCGCCCCCGGUGUCGCCAGAAGUCCAUUGAACCUUAUCAUAUAGAGGAAGGAUAAGUCGUAACAAGGUUUCCGUAGGUGAACCCGCGGAAG